UAAUUCUAUCAUAUGAUUCUUCCCGAAAAAAGAAGAUCUAUGCUUACACUUUUGUUUUAGAAGACGUCACAUAAUGUUGCAUUAUUAUACCUAAAGGGAAGCAUAGGGGUGAAACACUUUCAAUUUUUUUGAUAUCUGGAUUAAGCUUAAAUGAAUAUAGUUCAUGAGAUAGCCAUAAGGUUAUAAGAUUUUAUGGGGGCAGAAUAGUAAGAAUUGUUUUUAGCGGAAUAAAGUUCUAAGCUAGAUAUAAUAUUAUAUAAUUUUUAUUUAUAAACAUCUGUCCAAUAGGUUUAUAGUUAAAAAAAUUAUUUGCAGUUAAGUUAAUAAUGUUUAAAUUAGUAAAAAUUAAUAAGUUAACUGAAGGAACUUGGCAAAUAUAGUUUUCAACUAGUUUACCAAAAACAUAGCUUUAAGAAAAAUUCAAUAUAUUUAAAGUAAAAUCUGCCCAGUGAUAAUAUUUAACGGCCGCAGUACACUGACUGUGCUAAGGUAGCAUAAUAAAUUGACUUUUAAUUGGAGUCGGGUAUGAAUGGAUAACUGGAAACUUCCUGUCUCAAAGUUAAUUACAUUUAAUUUGCUUAAAAGGUGCAAAUUCCUUUAAUGUAUACAUGUAAGACGAGAAGACCCUAAGAAUUAUAAUUAAGAAAGUACUAAUUAGCUUUACAAAUUUUUGUUGGGGCAACAAAAUUGGUACACCAAUUCAUAAAAUAACAUCAACACAAAAUUAUUUUAUAAAAUGAAAUAAAUUACCUUAGGGAUAACAGCAUAAUUAAUUAAUUAGAUUGUGACCUCGAUGUUGGACUAAGGACUUAAUUAAAUAGCCUUUAAUAAAGAUAGUUCUGUUCGAACUGAGAACCUUA
This 860-nucleotide ribosomal RNA is filed under the name Orcula spoliata. Its description in RNAcentral is "partial 16S ribosomal RNA". The stretch from base 382 to 544 matches the Rfam family "Archaeal large subunit ribosomal RNA", at positions 1886 to 2087 of the family's 2987-position model. The record is from RNAcentral. Lineage: Eukaryota; Metazoa; Mollusca; Gastropoda; Stylommatophora; Orculidae.